This 223-nucleotide ribosomal RNA is filed under the name uncultured bacterium. RNAcentral's name for it is "partial 16S ribosomal RNA". It matches the Rfam family "Bacterial small subunit ribosomal RNA", at positions 524 to 745 of the family's 1533-position model. The record is from RNAcentral.
GACAGAGGGUGCAAACGUUGCUCGGAAUUACUGGGCGUAAAGGGCGUGUAGGCGGGCAGGUAAGUCGGGCGUGAAAUCCCUGGGCUCAACCCAGGAACUGCACUCGAAACUACUUGCCUUGAGUGCCGGAGAGGAAAGCGGAAUUCCUGGUGUAGAGGUGAAAUUCGUAGAUAUCAGGAGGAACACCAGUGGCGAAGGCGGCUUUCUGGACGGUAACUGGACG